Molecule: long non-coding RNA, 1002 nt
Organism: Oncorhynchus tshawytscha (Chinook salmon)
Lineage: Eukaryota; Metazoa; Chordata; Actinopteri; Salmoniformes; Salmonidae
Source: Ensembl
AACCUGACCAGGGAGAUUCAGAACAGUCCUGAAGCUGAAACCUGACCAGGGAGAUUCAGAACAGUCCUGAAGCUGAAACCUGACCAGGGAGAUUCAGAACAGUCCUGAAGGUGAAACCUGACCAGGGAGAUUCAGAACAGUCCUGAAGCUGAAGCCUGGCUAGGGAGAUUCAGAAUUAGGGGAAUUGUGCAACACUAAACCUGGAGAUUGGCUUGGAGAGGAGAACAGGGAUGUAAAGGAGAGAGGGUGGACUAGCCUCCACUCUUAGCCUUACAAACAGAUCUGGGACCAGGCUAAGAGGGGGACCACUUCCUGUUAUGGUUCUUUACAAACAGAUCUGGGACCAGGCUAAGAGGGGGACCACUUCCUGUUAUGGUUCUUUACAAACAGAUCUGGGACCAGGCUAAGAGGGGGACCACUUCCUGUUAUGGUUCUUUACAAACAGAUCUGGGACCAGGCUAAUAGGGGGACCACUUCCUGUUAUGGUUCUUUACAAACAGAUCUGGGACCAGGCUAAGAGGGGGACCACUUCCUGUUAUGGUUCUUUACAAACAGAUCUGGGACCAGGCUAAGAGGGGGACCACUUCCUGUUAUGGUUCUUUACAAACAGAUCUGGGACCAGGCUAAGAGGGGGACCACUUCCUGUUAUGGUUCUUUACAAACAGAUCUGGGACCAGGCUAAGAGGGGACCACUUCCUGUUAUGGUUCUUUACAAACAGAUCUGGGACUAUUUUUUUAUAUGGAGUUGCCUUUUCGUUGGUGCACCUUUUUGAAUGAAACACCCUAUUCCCUAUAUAGUGCACUACUCUUGACCAGGGCCCAUAGGGUAGUAGUUCACUAUAUACAGGGCAUUUGGAAAGUAUUCAGACCCCUUGAUGUUUUACACACUUUGUUUCAUUACAGCCAUAUUAGAAAAUGGAUUUUUUUUUUUUUUAACUAUCCUUCAUCAAUCUACAUACAAUACCCCAUAGUGACAUCACAAUACCCCAUAGUGACAUCACA